AUAACACUUAGAAAUAGGUGCUAAUACCGCAUAAGCGCACAGCUUCGCAUGAAGCAGUGUGAAAAACUCUGGUGGUAUACGAUGGAUCCGCGUCUGAUUAGCUAGUUGGCGGGGUAAAGGCCCACCAAGGCGACGAUCAGUAGCCGGCCUGAGAGGGUGAACGGCCACAUUGGGACUGAGACACGGCCCAAACUCCUACGGGAGGCAGCAGUGGGGAAUAUUGCACAAUGGGGGAAACCCUGAUGCAGCGACGCCGCGUGAGUGAAGAAGUAUUUCGGUACGUAAAGCUCUAUCAGCAGGGAAGAAAAUGACGGUACCUGACUAAGAAGCCCCGGCUAACUACGUGCCAGCAGCCGCGGUAAUACGUAGGGGGCAAGCGUUAUCCGGAUUUACUGGGUGUAAAGGGAGCGUAGACGGCAGCGCAAGUCUGGAGUGAAAUCCCAUGGCUUAACCAUGGAACUGCUUUGGAAACUGUGCAGCUAGAGUGCAGGAGAGGUAGGCGGAAUUCCUAGUGUAGCGGUGAAAUGCGUAGAUAUUAGGAGGAACACCAGUGGCGAAGGCGGCUUACUGGACUGUAACUGACGUUGAGGCUCGAAAGCGUGGGGAGCAAACAGGAUUAGAUACCCUGGUAGUCCACGCUGUAAACGAUGAUUACUGGGUGUUGGGGGACCAAGGUCCUUCGGUG
This 685-nucleotide ribosomal RNA is filed under the name uncultured bacterium. Its description in RNAcentral is "bacterial SSU rRNA". It matches the Rfam family "Bacterial small subunit ribosomal RNA", at positions 143 to 845 of the family's 1533-position model. The record is from RNAcentral.